Molecule: unclassified non-coding RNA, 497 nt
Filed under: Satellites of Trichomonas vaginalis T1 virus
Description: satellite-like small RNA
Source: RNAcentral
CUUAAAGAAGCGAUAGGAAGUCUUUAAGUGUAUUCGGUGCAAACCGUAUACGAGUGUCCCGGCACCUACUAUCUGACGAAGCCCCGGGAUAGGCGGUAAUGUAUUCUUUUGUGAGGAAGAAUAAGCCUUCACAGGCCAGCCUAUGCUGAGCGCGUCAGUGGUAGUGGUUCGUACAGCGCCCUUUCUGGUCGGCUCACAUCGAGCAGAUUGCGUAUGAGAAUGCUAUACCAGCCCUCAGAUGCAGUCAUAUUACGGACGUGUGGCUACUUUAGUCCUAGGUAAGUAGUGUUCGUAGUAUGUGUUAUAGGGAGACUUGAAGUCCUAGCAAGCCUACCUUAUGGCACGCAACUGUGUCUGUCGUAUUACUGGGAUAAUGCAUAUGUCUGUGCGUCUCGGAGAUACUCAUGCGAUGUCAUAUGAGAUUGACCAACCGAAUUGCCGAUGUCAAUCUUCAUCUGGCGUUUGCACUGAAUAUCUGCGGCCUCCUAUUGACAGUC